UAGGGAAUCUUCGGCAAUGGGGGCAACCCUGACCGAGCAACGCCGCGUGAGUGAAGAAGGUUUUCGGAUCGUAAAGCUCUGUUGUAAGAGAAGAACGUGUGUGAGAGUGGAAAGUUCACACAGUGACGGUAACUUACCAGAAAGGGACGGCUAACUACGUGCCUG
Molecule: ribosomal RNA, 165 nt
Filed under: uncultured bacterium
Lineage: Bacteria
Description: partial 16S rRNA
Rfam family: Bacterial small subunit ribosomal RNA
Source: RNAcentral